AUCAAACUAAAAGAUGAACUCUCACAAUUAAAAAGGUGUUUGUGCGUGUUUUCAAAUACAGAUUUUACUGCUACUUUAUAUGCAAGUGUUUUUCUUGUGUUUUCAAUGAUUUCAAUACCAGAUUUUAUUUUUCUUAAUAUACGAAUGUGUUUCUAAUGUUGUCAAGGAUUUAGGGCAUGGUGGUCAAAGUUUAGCUGCACUAGUUGAAAUUUGACCAUGCAUCACAUCAUAUUGAAAUUGUACGUUUAGUCAUUCUAAAAAAUGAGUAACUUUCUGGGGUGACAGAUAGUCAGAUACUCAAUCUAACAAAAUACUGAACAGCUACUUUGAUGAUUUUGCUUACCAGGAUUUCAUGUGUAAUUGGGAUAGUCUAGUUAUGUAAGGGGAAUUUUUUGAUGUAAUGGGGACCUCAUUUUCUUUAAAAAAAAAAAAUUGUUAAUAUUCAUGGCCCGAAGGCUUACAAGGAUAAGGCCCGAGGGCUUACAAAGUGGGGACCACAUUUUCUACUUGUCGUUCUAAAUUGGUGUGGCAGUGGAGUCAAAGUAUCUCGUAAUGUUUGUUUAGCACUGACGUUUACAGAUAAAAAAAGUCAGAUUUUGUAAUAAACCAAGUGAAAACUGAUUGUGUUCUUUUGUGUGCGUUCCUUAAACCAAUCCACAUCACCCAGCAAGUGUAGCCUGUGACAUUCUGAAGUAGUGAUGGAUAAGGAACGAGUGCAUGGCAGCUGGAGCAAAGUGUGGAUCUUACUAGCUCGGAUUCCAGUAGAAGAUAUCAUUGGCGUAGUUCUGAGGGAGACUAUCACGAAGGCUAGAACAGUGAUCUAGAGAAAAUUAGGGGUAGCUGGGUGUUUACGGAGUUUUAGAAGUGUUCACUGUUUGGGUAGGGAAUUGUGUUAAAAUGGCGAUCUUAUAAGACAUAUCGACAAUAAACACACUCAGCUUUCUAGCAGCACCACUGUCAGCUGUAAUUCCACCUUUACCUGAGACCCUAGCCACAAAGAAUCUACCUUUGGCUCCGUCACUACUGUCACCACCUAAUUGCAAUCGUUACUACCUCUCCGUAUAGAUGAGAAUUGUUGUUGUACUUCUGGUCGAAACAGUAACUAGUGUGAUCCACAAACAAGGGCGUUAUAAACCAUUUUUGAAGGCUGUUCCUCGAGACGUCUCCCCCUCCUUUUUAUAAAUAGGUUCAACGUCCUAACUGAUCAUAGAACUCCUCCUCAACAGUUGCUCAUCCUGCAGCUAAAAUUAGUUGUCAUUCCACUUACUGAUCAUACUAAUCGUUAACUUUUAUCCUUUGCGUAAAAAAAGUAUAGGGAAUGGGAGUCUUUUAGUCAUGUGUUGAUUCAUUGUCAAUUUUCAUUUCCAUUGGGUAUAUUUUCACAGGUCAGCGUCUGUAGAGUGGGUGGUUCUUGAGUUGGUUCGUGAUCUAAAGUAAACUAGGGUCUUCCUCUCAGGCUAGUGGUUAUGGAAUCGUCGCAUUUUCAGGGCCAAGCUCAAAAUGUUAGAGAUCAAAGGACUUCUAUACCUUUGGUGUUAGAGAUGGCAGGAUUACAGGAGCAUCCCAUUUGCGGCCUUUGUUGUAGUUUUGAUGUUUGUUUAGUUUAGUCCUUUUGUUGCCUUCUGUUCUGUUGCACUAGUGUUAAUCUGUCUGCAGUUGUUUCUUUUUGUGUUGAUGUUUAGGGAAUAGGAUAGCUCAUCCCUUGGAGUGUCUGUACUUCAAUUUUGUACCUUUUUUUAUUUUUUAUAUUUUAUGAAUGAAUAAAGUGAUCGUUUACCUCUAA
Molecule: long non-coding RNA, 1783 nt
Filed under: Aquilegia coerulea
Lineage: Eukaryota; Viridiplantae; Streptophyta; Magnoliopsida; Ranunculales; Ranunculaceae
Description: long non-coding RNA (ACOE_LNC001070)
Source: RNAcentral